AACGAACGCUGGCGGCAUGCCUAACACAUGCAAGUCGAACGAGACCUUCGGGUCUAGUGGCGCACGGGUGCGUAACGCGUGGGAACCUGCCCUUAGGUUCGGAAUAACUCCCCGAAAGGGGUGCUAAUACCGGAUAAUGUCUUCGGACCAAAGAUUUAUCGCCUUUGGAUGGGCCCGCGUUGGAUUAGCUAGUUGGUAGGGUAAAAGCCUACCAAGGCGACGAUCCAUAGCUGGUCUGAGAGGAUGAUCAGCCACACUGGGACUGAGACACGGCCCAGACUCCUACGGGAGGCAGCAGUGGGGAAUAUUGGACAAUGGGCGAAAGCCUGAUCCAGCAAUGCCGCGUGAGUGAUGAAGGCCUUAGGGUUGUAAAGCUCUUUUACCCGGGAUGAUAAUGACAGUACCGGGAGAAUAAGCUCCGCCUAACUCCGUG
Molecule: ribosomal RNA, 433 nt
Filed under: uncultured bacterium
Lineage: Bacteria
Description: partial 16S ribosomal RNA
Rfam family: Bacterial small subunit ribosomal RNA
Source: RNAcentral